This is a long non-coding RNA of Ostrea edulis (European flat oyster), 1828 nucleotides long. RefSeq lists it as uncharacterized. The transcript has 4 exons. NCBI's taxonomy places the organism in Eukaryota, Metazoa, Mollusca, Bivalvia, Ostreida, Ostreidae. The record is from RefSeq and is a predicted model, not a curated record.
GGGGGGCAUAUUCCGAGAUAAGAGAAAGUUUCUCUGUUUAAGAAAUUAGGUCAACAUCAUCAGUGCUUCUCACAGCAGGAGACUGGCCAGUUUCCUUGGUAACUACGAAAUCUAAUAUAUCGAGAUGGUCAGCACGUGUAUCCAUUUCACAAAUUUCGCAUUUGAGCUGCGUAAUUGAUGCACACGGAAAUUUUUGUUGGAUUUAAGAAAUUUGGAUAAACUACUUCGCAAGACAAUAUAAAAUGAACAAGUACUCAAGGGGUAAAGGGACGUCAUAUUGGUAAAUUAGAAGACGUGUGCAACAAAGCAACAUCAAGUUCUACAGUUUCACUAUUUAACAAAAGCCCCACUAGCUCAGGUGAGAUCAUUAUCAACUAUUGGUGGUGAAAACACGAAAAGUUCAGUAAGGAGACUACUUUCCCACAUGAUCACCACAAAACUAGCAGUAAACAUCAACUGGAUGGGAAAAGGGGGGAAAUUGCCUUCUCUUCACUGAAAUUACAGGAAAUAUUGAAAGAAACAAUGAGGAAGAAUCGCCUCUGUGUUAAUGCAACAGACGUGGAAAUUUUCAACAUGGCAAAAGACUGGUUUCGCUUUGCUAGUGAUAGAGAUGGGGGACGAAGGAGAAGGGCAGAGAAAAAGAAACUUCAAAUUCAAAUUCAAGCUGAACAGAAUGAGAGUGAGCUUGAGGAUGAGACCAAUAAAUAAAUAGAUUCUUUGUAAAACGCGUAUUACCGCUCUCAAUACUUACAUGUAAUAGAAUAUUAACAAUUUCCUUGUUAAUUUUGUAAUUGUAUGGAUACCUUCUUUUUCAUUUGUGUAACUGAUUUUUUUAAACUCUUUUAAGGUAAUACACUAAAACAUUAAUAAAAUAUUAGGCAAAUGAAGAUCCCUUUCAAUUUGAUUAGUUAUUAACUUUGUUGUUGCAGAGUUCUGAGACUUCAUUUUUAUAUUUAAUAUUUUAUGUCAUGCCUUAUAGAGUUAUGGAACUUUUAACUUUUUAUAUGUACCUUUUAUGUCAUUCCUGCCUCUGAAAUAUAUAUUACAGGUCCUUUUCUGACUUGUCAGUUUUGUAGUUAUUAUGUACAUAUACCAUGAUACUUGUUGAUGAAUAUAUAUUGCAUAUGUCAUAAAGAUUUGUUCAUUUUGCUUUUCAAAGGAAUAAGAAAACAUUACUUUUUCGGGAAUAGUUUGUCUUCAUUGAUUCAACAUGCUUCUCCCCAUAAACGUUCACUGCUUUGUUAGAGAAAAAAUGUGUCAAAAGAGGAAAGAUGCAAUGUUUAGGACAGCCUACUGGGAAAAUUCCAGGUUACAUACCCAUCAAUGUGUGAAGUAGUUUUAUAUUAUGCCAAGACAAUCUUACAUCAUCACAGUGCAAUGCUAGCUUUGUAUCAAAAGAUAUAUUUUUAUAUAUUUCCUUUCAUGAGUUUUAUAUGAUUUUUGUGUGAUAGCAUAGUGUGUGUGUGUGUGUGUGUGUGUGUGUGUGUGUGUGUGUAUCUAGUUAUAUUUACCAUCAAUUUGUUUAGUAAUGUAGUUUAUACUCAUGUGUGCGGUUGUUGGACUCAACCUUGUGAUGGGCUUUAAUAGUAUAAUUGCAUUGUAUUGGAUGGUAUUUGUCUUCAUUUCAUACAUUUCUUAAAUGUCUGGGACAUAUUUCUGAAUGUAAUCCUUUUUGGUAUUCCUGUAUUUUGAUAUUUUUAAUAGCAAUAUUUUUCAUAUUGUAUCGUAAUAUUGUUCAUUACAUAUAUUUUUUUCUUAUAUAUGAAUUUACAUCCCAGGCAAGAUGUUAUGUGAAAUAAAAAAAAAUGCAAUAAAAAAUAUUAAUUAU